ACCGAGCACACAGGAAUGGUAGGACAAAAGCUGCUGGGACAGGUAAAAUAGUUUCACUUGACUAUUUACACUUGUUUCGACAUUGGCGAUGUCAGCGCUGGUACUGGUAGCUGUGCUGGUGAUGAUCGGAACAGUGGACGCCCAGGACAGCUCGACCACGACGCAGAGGUCGGCUGCCAUAGAUAUCGGCUUGGGAGACACCGUUGGCGGUGUGGGAGACUUACUAGAGGGACUUCUGGGAGGAGGCGUUCUGCACGUGAGCCGAGCUGGCAGGGCCCAGCAAGCGUCAUCAGCCCAGAGCGGCGCCAAGAAGGUUCACUCGUAGACAAAGAAAAUUAUCACAACUUACAUUAAGUUAGCCACUUUGAUAUCUGAGAGGGAUAUGUUGUACAUUGAACAAUAAAUAAGGAAUAAAAAUAGAUA
This is a long non-coding RNA of Schistocerca gregaria, 423 nucleotides long. RefSeq lists it as uncharacterized. The record is from RefSeq and is a predicted model, not a curated record. The transcript has 2 exons. Lineage: Eukaryota; Metazoa; Arthropoda; Insecta; Orthoptera; Acrididae.